Molecule: ribosomal RNA, 452 nt
Filed under: Leptotrichia wadei
Lineage: Bacteria; Fusobacteriati; Fusobacteriota; Fusobacteriia; Fusobacteriales; Leptotrichiaceae
Description: bacterial SSU rRNA
Rfam family: Bacterial small subunit ribosomal RNA
Source: RNAcentral
GAUGAACGCUGACAGAAUGCUUAACACAUGCAAGUCUUUGGCGAAGCUUGUGCUUGCACAGCCUAGCCAAGGCGGACGGGUGAGUAACGCGUAAGGGACUUGCCCGCAGUCAGGGAUAACAGACGGAAACGACUGAUAAAACCUGGUAAAGUCAGGCGGACUCAUGUCCAGCCUGAUGAAAAGGAAUGCUGCAGGAGAGCCUUGCGUCCUAUUAGCUUGUUGGUGGGGUAACGGCCCACCAAGGCGAUGAUAGGUAGCCGGCCUGAGAGGGUGGACGGCCACAAGGGGACUGAGAUACGGCCCUUACUCCUACGGGAGGCAGCAGUGGGGAAUAUUGGACAAUGGGGGCAACCCUGAUCCAGCAAUUCUGUGUGCACGAUGAAGGUCUUCGGAUUGUAAAGUGCUUUCAGCAGGGAAGAAAAAAAUGACGGUACCUGCAGAAGAAGCGACGG